This 720-nucleotide ribosomal RNA is filed under the name uncultured Rhizobium sp. Its description in RNAcentral is "bacterial SSU rRNA". It matches the Rfam family "Bacterial small subunit ribosomal RNA", at positions 1 to 770 of the family's 1533-position model. The record is from RNAcentral. Lineage: Bacteria; Pseudomonadati; Pseudomonadota; Alphaproteobacteria; Hyphomicrobiales; Rhizobiaceae.
GCCCUUAGAGUUUGAUCCUGGCUCAGAACGAACGCUGGCGGCAGGCUUAACACAUGCAAGUCGAGCGCCCCGCAAGGGGAGCGGCAGACGGGUGAGUAACGCGUGGGAAUCUACCCUUUUCUACGGAAUAACGCAGGGAAACUUGUGCUAAUACCGUAUGUGUCCUUCGGGAGAAAGAUUUAUCGGAGAUGGAUGAGCCCGCGUUGGAUUAGCUAGUUGGUGGGGUAAAGGCCUACCAAGGCGACGAUCCAUAGCUGGUCUGAGAGGAUGAUCAGCCACACUGGGACUGAGACACGGCCCAGACUCCUACGGGAGGCAGCAGUGGGGAAUAUUGGACAAUGGGCGCAAGCCUGAUCCAGCCAUGCCGCGUGAGUGAUGAAGGCCCUAGGGUUGUAAAGCUCUUUCACCGGAGAAGAUAAUGACGGUAUCCGGAGAAGAAGCCCCGGCUAACUUCGUGCCAGCAGCCGCGGUAAUACGAAGGGGGCUAGCGUUGUUCGGAAUUACUGGGCGUAAAGCGCACGUAGGCGGAUAUUUAAGUCAGGGGUGAAAUCCCAGAGCUCAACUCUGGAACUGCCUUUGAUACUGGGUAUCUUGAGUAUGGAAGAGGUAAGUGGAAUUCCGAGUGUAGAGGUGAAAUUCGUAGAUAUUCGGAGGAACACCAGUGGCGAAGGCGGCUUACUGGUCCAUUACUGACGCUGAGGUGCGAAAGCGUGGGGAGCA